AGAGUUUGAUCCUGGCUCAGAUUGAACGCUGGCGGCAUGCCUUACACAUGCAAGUCGAACGGUAACGGGCCUUCGGGUGCCGACGAGUGGCGAACGGGUGAGUAAUGCAUCGGAACGUACCUUCAGUGGGGGAUAACGUAGCGAAAGUUACGCUAAUACCGCAUAUUCUGUGAGCAGGAAAGCAGGGGAUCGCAAGACCUUGUGCUGAUUGAGCGGCCGAUGUCAGAUUAGCUAGUUGGUGAGGUAAAGGCUCACCAAGGCGACGAUCUGUAGCGGGUCUGAGAGGAUGAUCCGCCACACUGGAACUGAGACACGGUCCAGACUCCUACGGGAGGCAGCAGUGGGGAAUUUUGGACAAUGGGGGCAACCCUGAUCCAGCCAUGCCGCGUGAGUGAAGAAGGCCUUCGGGUUGUAAAGCUCUUUCGGCCGGGAAGAAAUCGCAUGGGUUAAUACCCUGUGCGGAUGACGGUACCGGCAUAAGAAGCACCGGCUAACUACGUG
RNAcentral lists this ribosomal RNA (501 nucleotides) under uncultured bacterium. Its description in RNAcentral is "bacterial SSU rRNA". It matches the Rfam family "Bacterial small subunit ribosomal RNA", at positions 8 to 507 of the family's 1533-position model. The record is from RNAcentral.